Long non-coding RNA from Zonotrichia albicollis (white-throated sparrow), 1917 nucleotides. NCBI's taxonomy places the organism in Eukaryota, Metazoa, Chordata, Aves, Passeriformes, Passerellidae. The record is from Ensembl.
CACGGUUCGCGGAGCGCGGGCUGGGGGCCGAGGAGAUGCCACAAGUGCUGCCCCUCCUGCCCCUUUAGCUGCAGAAGGCAGGCAAUCGUGGGGGCAAACCUGGAGCUGUGUCUCACAGACAUGAACACGGCUGUGUGUUUAAAUAAGGGAGUGUGCAGAUGGGCAAGUUUCACUCUGAUGGCCCUCAAGCAUAAUCCCAAAAUAUUUCCUCGGCAGGACCUCUCAGCGAGCAGGCUGGAUGGCGUGCUCUCCAUGGGCUUUUAUUCAGCAAUUCUCAUUGUCCCUUACAUGGCUCCGAGCACUAUUUACUGUACAGCGUCCAAAUUCAGCACUGAAUACAGAUGUGGUCCUCUCCUCGUGGGGCUUUCAGCAGUGCUAUUCACCCCAAGGCUUUAAAAUCAUUACGAGCAAUGUCCUUUCUGAGCUGAUGGCUCCCAAUGCAAGUGUUCCACACCCACUUCCCAGGGGUACCCUGUCAUUUCGGGGCCUUGCUAUUUAUCCUGGAUGCAGAAUUGCUCUCGGUGCCUCUUGUUCCCAAGCCAGCCCCACUGGCAUGCAGCACCCUGUUGCACAACAUCAGCAUGCUUCAUGUCUCUAGCUCUCAUUCAUUCUCACAUCCACCCUUCUCCCCAGCCUGUCUCUUUGUCCUGCCCCUUGCAGGGAGCCUCUGCCCUGCCAGCAGUAAUCCUAAAGUGCUGUGGUUCCCUAGGACUUUCUGGUUCCCACACCUGGCAUGGGAGAUUGAAAAAGCCAUGGCUAACGUUUGCAAAAAUGCUCACUGGCUUUUGUGUGGUCAGCCCAAAAGAUUUCACCAUCCUGUUGGAGAGGUGCCGUGUGGAAGAGAGGACCCUGUGGAUGCCAAGCACAGGGGAGCUGACAGCCUUGUGUCCCGAGCUGGCAGUGCGUGUGACCCUUAGAGGCCAGUGAUGAUUCAUGAAGGAGGAAGAUCGUGUCAAGAUCCUUGUUCUCGAGAUGCUAAACAAAAUACCCAGAUCCCCAAGGUUUGUGGUUUGAGGAAAAGUGUCUGUGGCAGCUACAGUGGUUGGUAUUGCUGAGAUCUGAAUGAGUAACGUGUGACACCAAGUUUAUGUAACCACAGUGUCAAGCCCCAAAUGGUUUUCAUGUCAUCAUCUUCCAUAACCAGGUCAGUUGCUUCAGGUCAAAAGCCUGACUUAAAUAUUAAAUUUAUUAUCAAGAUUUUUAGUGUCAUUUGUUAUUUCAACAAGUGAAAAGGCAGACUUCAAUACCUUAUGAAAAUCAUACUAGGCUUUGGUUUAUUCCAAGAAGCCAGCCAAAGAUGGCCUGCACUCUUAGUUUAUGAAGAGACAUCAGAGGUGAUUCAAAAGAGAAGCAGGACCAGGGCAACCAUUCCUUUUCUCCACUUAUAAAUGCUCACAGCCCAAUUGCUGCUAGGUCAGGCCACACUCUGCUCUGUUUCAGGGUGGUAAGCACAGGUGGGAAAUAGACAAGAGAACCACGAGUGUUUGUGUGUUUUCGUGCAGCAGGACCAAGGUGAGCGGGCUGCAGAACAUGGGAAAUGAACUAAUCUCACCUUUGAAAUCAACAGAUUGAAGGGCUUGGCAAAGCAAGAGCAUUAUAGCUGUGUCUCUUCAGGAUGGAUAUAUGACCUGGGAGUCUGUGAGCCAGCCAGGAGCCAAACUUCCUCGGGUGUAGCUGGCUCUCCCUUGCAUUGGGGAGAUAGGACACGCCACCUCUCCAGCCACACCAUCCCACUGCUUUCCAGUUCUACCAGGGGACAAACAGCUGCCUGCAAAAGGAGAGGCCCUGGCUGGAAUGUAGCCUUCUUAGGGAAAUGCAGCACAAGAGAGGUGCUGAUAGUCCUGUGAGGGAGGGAAUGAGAUAAGGCAGGUGCCGGAGCUCCUGGCAUACAAGGGGAGGCUGAAAGAGCUGUUUCUU